GGCAGGGUUUCAUAUUUUAUUGAAGCAGCCCUGGGCACCGCCAUUAGCUAGCGGACCCCCACCUGCUUUUAGCAUUCCAUUGACUCCCAUUCAUUUUGGCGUCACUUUGACAGUGAAUAACUUUACAUCUGAGGCGUUUAAAGACUCAAUUUGUGCAUCAAUUAUUUCUAAAGAAACACGAAAAUGUAUAAAAGGCUCCAUUACCUUGUAUCUUACGUUAUGGCCCAGUAGAAGCAGUUUUAGUAAAACUAUGCUAACGAUUGCGUCAUUAGCACGCGACUCUCUGUCGCACAGUAGAGAAAUUACCGUAUGGACAGGAGGAGAAGCGCAUGUGGAAUAUGGCGUACUGGUGUUUAACUUUAAAAUAAAUAAAUACUAUGCAAAAUGACAAAGUAAUUAAUCAUAAUACUAAAUAUACUUAAUACAAAAUGUACUCCUGUUCACGCUCGCCGUUUCUUCAAGAUUCGGUGGGUGAUUCAGAUUUAUCUUGGCACAACUAUUAGAAGACUUACAAUUGUCACACAGGUUGCUCACGUCACCAAGCUCAGUUUGAGUCUGCGCAGUACGCUCGACCCCCCGGAAGUGUGAGCUUCUAAUUGGCUUCACUUGUCUCCGUUGAAUCCAACGGGGUCGCUGUGUCCAUUUCUUUUACUGUCUAUGGUAAUAGUAAGACGAUUGUUUAUAGCUCUCUUUCAACUUUAGCGUAAUGACAAAUAACGUUACUGCCGUAAAUGUUUUAAAUUGAGGGCACGGAGGAAGCUUCAUAAGACGCUCUUUUUUUUAUUAUUUUUUUUUAUUAACUUGAAAUCACAUUACAUCAAUACUCAUAAUAACAUACAAAAUAGAAAUUACAAUCAGACAAUACAAACAAACAAAUAAAAAAGUAUAAACAUACAAAUUAAGUAUAAAAAAAAAAAAAAAAAAAAAAUAAGGGCAUGAGAUCAUCAUACAAAUAACGUAAAAGCUUCACAUAAGGACCUAGUGCGUUUUGCUUUAUUAUUUUUCAAUCCAAGAAGUAACUCUACAUAAUGUUUCAUAUCUAUCUGAAAUAACAAAAAGUUAGGUUUUCCUUUAGCCCAUUUUUGUUUAUGUAUAUGGUAUUUUCCCAUAAUCAAUAAAAGAUUAACAACAAAAGUCUCAUUUGGUGGCAAUUUUUCUCUAUUAAAAUAAAAAAAUACAUCUUUCUCAAAAAGGUAAACUUUAAUACCAAAACACUUAUAAAGGAGGCCUUCCAAUUCUAUCCAAAACAUUUUGCUAUAUAUACAAUUGAAAAAUAAGUGUACAACAUCCUCCUUUUCUGUCCCACAAAAAUCACAUCAACAUCUGACAUCAGCAUCAUCAUUAAACCUAAGAAAAAGUGUUUUAACAGGGUACACCAAAUGAAGUAUUUUAAAAUGUACUUCUCUCACCUUAUUUGUUAUACAAUAUUUUUUCGGCAGCAACCAUGCAUAUUUCCAUUCAAUGCACUCAAAUGUAGAAUGCCAAAAUGUUCUAGAAGAUAUUGGGCUAUAUUCUGUAAGUAACUUCCUAGUAAAAUAAUUAUUCCAUCUUUUAUCAGUAAUGAUCACUCCUUCAAGUGCAAUAUCAGGUUUAAAACUCACAUUCUCAUUAUACACAUAUCCUUUAAACAGACAUUUUAAACCAGAUGGUAUAGCAUCGAACACUAUACAAUAUUCUUUAGGGACUAUUGGAAUAUUGUACGCUUCAUAAGACGCUCGGAUGGUCUUAUAUUGUCUCAUUCAUCGUCAUUGUUAACGUGGGUAGACAAUAUGGCCAUAUACGGCAUAUAUGGACAUAUUUACCAUCCUAAAAUUAUUAAAGUACCGAGGCAUACCAAUAUUUAAAUCGUGAACUGUUACACAGUGAGGGUGAUUUCGUCUUUUUUUUUUAAGUAAAUGUGCACCUCAGACAGUUUAAUAUGUAUUAAACCAAGAUGAAAUUCACUUGCAAACUUAAUUCUUUUUAAGAUUUAAGAGGAAUCUACAGAGCUCACGUGGUUUUAUAAGAAAUGGCUACUAACAGAUAACAUCUGGUGAUAUUGUGAAGGUUUAUAAAAAUAACUAUUCACAACAGGUAACAUUGUAAAGGUGUAUAAAAAUAACUAUUCACAACAGGUAACAUCUGGUGACAUUGUAAAGGUUUAUAAAAAUAACUAUGCACAACAUGUAACAACUGGUGACAUUGUAAAGGUUUAUAAAAUAAUUAUUCACAACAGGUAACAUCUGGUGACAUUGUGAAGGUUUAUAAAAAUAACUAUUCACACAGGUAACAUUGUAAAGGUGUAUACAAAUAACUAU
Molecule: non-coding RNA, 2297 nt
Organism: Paramisgurnus dabryanus
Lineage: Eukaryota; Metazoa; Chordata; Actinopteri; Cypriniformes; Cobitidae
Source: RefSeq, a predicted model, not a curated record